UGGAUUUGGAAUAUAGAUUCUGCGAAGAAAAAUCGGCAAGAAAGUCCGUAGUUACUCUUUUGAAAAUAUAUACAGAUUUAUAUAAAACUGUGUUUUAGUUCAAAAUUAGUAAUAUCUUGCAUGAAAUACAGCGUCCCUAAAUCCACAUAUAUUUAUCAACUAUGUAAUUCCUGCACAGAAUAAUACGCUUUAUCUAUCAAUGUCCUUUUAAUAAAAACUUUAAAUAUAUUUUGAAACAAAUGUAUGGUAUGAU
This 253-nucleotide unclassified non-coding RNA is filed under the name Melitaea cinxia (Glanville fritillary). Its description in RNAcentral is "misc RNA ENSMCXG00005005126.1". The record is from RNAcentral. Lineage: Eukaryota; Metazoa; Arthropoda; Insecta; Lepidoptera; Nymphalidae.